This 169-nucleotide unclassified non-coding RNA is filed under the name uncultured Dactylellina. RNAcentral's name for it is "sequence contains ITS2". Lineage: Eukaryota; Fungi; Ascomycota; Orbiliomycetes; Orbiliales; Orbiliaceae. The record is from RNAcentral.
CAACCCUCGGUCACCACCGGUUUUGAGCCAGCCGGGUCCUCGGGCCCGACCGGCUUUAAAGUUGUAAGCUCUGCUGCCCGCCCGGCACGAUCAGAACAUAGUAAAACCUACUUGCUCACGGUCGAGUCGAAGCGGUGCGGCCUGGAUAAAACCUACCCAACUCUAAGGU